GGACUGCUCGGGGUUAGGCUGGGCAUCGGUCAGCGAGUGGAUACAAAGAAACAUUUUGCUGGCACAGACUUCUCUCUGGCUCAAGGCCUAAAUGUAAUUACACGUAUGUCUCUGAGGUGUAGAAGAGAUUUCUUUAAGCACUGCAAUGGUAACAGAGGCUGCCACUGAAAAGGAAGUUUUAGAUUGCCCUCACUGCCUUCCCCUCACACACCCAUUGGGACAGGCAAUACUGACUACACUACUUCAGAAACAAGUCGUGUAGAGACCACAUGCCUGCAGGCUGGUGGAGAGCUCCUAAAACUACACUGGAUGGUCUACAACAAGAAAAUGCUCUGGCAAAUCACAGCAUGACAGUUCAGGCAAACGCGUCUGAUGCCAAGCGGUACUAUCUCACUUCUCUGAUGGUCACAUAUCUUUACCUACUGUGAAGUUCACACCACUUGCCAAUCCUAUGCACACACUGUGCCUACACGAAGAGUUUGCUGCCUUCAUUCAACCCUACAAGCAGGGUAGCCUGAACAGCACACCAGCAACCGGACUUCAGACUUGCUUCCAGCAGAAGGGAAAACAAUGAUGUGUUCCAGUGUAUACAGCAGGUCUGGUGGAGGCAACAACACGAAUCUGCAACCCAACAACCCCUCCAGCUCACAUCACUCCCCCUAACAACCUGCAGUUCCCCCCCCCCCCCAGCUCUCAUCAUCAUAGACAUCACCAUCAAAGACAGAGGCCAUGACAUUUUGGCAUGCUGAGCACAAUUUCCAGUGUGAUUUCUGUGAGGAGAGGUGGCACCUAUCAAUCCAAAUGACAAAACAUCCAAAAUUUUAAGCAUUGUUCUGACACCAAUCUAUUCUACAAGGUAUAAUGAAUAAAUGUUUCAGCUUUCUCCUGGUAAAACAGAAGUAAUUACCCCAUAAGAAGGGAAGUAGGAAGUACAUGCAGAUUAAUUGUUACUUGAUAGGUCUUGAGAAAACAAUGACUCUCUUCUAAGUAGAUACAUAAUUUUUCACACACUCAGAGGUCUUCUCAAUAUGCAGAAGGACCUAGAAGCAUCACUGCUUGUAGUACUUUCUUGUGGUGGCAAAAAAUACAUGCACAGCAACCAUGAAGGAGUUAAAGUGAGAUAAAUGUAGGUUACAUUGGAACUUUAACAAAUUGGGACCCAAAGAUACACCAGCCAGUGAGGGUUAGAGGCAUCUGAGGGUCAUGAGCCUCAAAGCUAAAUGAAGGUCUAAGCCCUGCUGUUACACGUUCUGAAGAUUUCCUAGAAAAAGUGUUUGGUUUUCUGCCUCUGUUUUUCAGUGCAUACUGCAAGAUGAUAAAUGCAUAUGCUACUCAGAUGAGCUACCUUCUUUGUUUUCCCUCUGGUACUAUUAAGGAUGUGCCAGUGGCUACGAAAUAAGAAAGUUACUUGACAAAUUUCAAGUAAAUUCAUGGUGAAAUAUUAAGCUUCAUUCAUCUUUUCUGUGGCCCUUAAGUAAAACAGGGUUCUGUAAAAAAUUUUUGGGAGGCAUAAUAAAGACGAUGCAAGCAGUAAUGCAGCUGAUAAAUCAUUUAUGAAGAAAGUAAAGGGAGAACAUUCCCAAAUACCAGUGCACAAAGUAUUUCCACUAACAUCUUAGGCCUAAUAUACUCCAUUUUAAAACAGACAAUUAGAUAACUGCUAUAACAUGCACCACUGGGGGAAGAUGCGAACUACGACUGGCAGAAAGCAAACAAUCCAGUGUUCAUUCAUCCUGUUACCUUGAGAGGCAAGCUUCUCCGUGAGAAAAGAUUCAGUGGAUGAAUUCAAGCUCCUUGAGAAUCAGCCUCAAGACUUCUUGAAAGAGACUAUUGUGCUUUGUUAAGUAAUAAAGUAUGCACUUACUUUCUGG
Anas platyrhynchos (mallard) is the source of this 1871-nucleotide non-coding RNA. NCBI's taxonomy places the organism in Eukaryota, Metazoa, Chordata, Aves, Anseriformes, Anatidae. The record is from RefSeq and is a predicted model, not a curated record.